RNAcentral lists this ribosomal RNA (440 nucleotides) under uncultured bacterium. RNAcentral's name for it is "partial 16S ribosomal RNA". It matches the Rfam family "Bacterial small subunit ribosomal RNA", at positions 338 to 795 of the family's 1533-position model. The record is from RNAcentral.
CCUACGGGAGGCUGCAGUGGGGAAUAUUGCACAAUGGGGGAAACCCUGAUGCAGCGACGCCGCGUGAGUGAAGAAGUAUUUCGGUACGUAAAGCUCUAUCAGCAGGGAAGAAAAUGACGGUACCUGACUAAGAAGCCCCGGCUAACUACGUGCCAGCAGCCGCGGUAAUACGUAGGGGGCAAGCGUUAUCCGGAUUUACUGGGUGUAAAGGGAGCGUAGACGGCAGCGCAAGUCUGGAGUGAAAUCCCAUGGCUUAACCAUGGAACUGCUUUGGAAACUGUGCAGCUAGAGUGCAGGAGAGGUAAGCGGAAUGCCUGGUGUAGCGGUGAAAUGCGUAGAUAUUAGGAGGAACACCAGUGGCGAAGGCGGCUUACUGGACUGUAACUGACGUUGAGGCUCGAAAGCGUGGGGAGCAAACAGGAUUAGAUACCCUAGUAGUC